CAAAUUUAUUAGAUUUCACUUGCAUCUCCUAGUUGAGCAAUUAGACAGAGUGUACAUGCAAUAGACUUUAUGAGUAGUUAGACCAAAGGAAACACUAUCUCUCUUUUUUUAUGUGGAAUGCUUUGGAGUUUACAGCAUUUAUUUCCCAUGUAUUCCAAAUGUAGAGAGUGUGAAUUCACAAAAAGACUCUAAAAUCCUUUUUUUUUUUUUUGCUCUAAAAGACUAAUAAAGUAAAAAAAAAUUUUUUUUUGAAAUAUCAAUAAUUAUUAAAGCAAUAAAAAGUAUAAUUAUGUAGUGUUUUUCACUGUUCAUAAAAAAAAAAAAAAAAAACAUUUUUUUUUUGCCUGUACAAAUUGUUAUUGUUUUGUUAAUAUUUUUUGUUUAUUUGUUUGUUUUUUUAUUUUUAUUUUUAGUUUUUUGCACUAAAUCUUUGAUACAAUAGUCCCAUGUUAUAAAUUUAGUUAUUUAACAUUCACAAAUCAAAUUAUAAUCAGGCUGUAAUCAAGUACUGUUACUCUUUCUUCUGUAUUACUGCUCACACAUACCUUUUUCUAAAAGAUGACAGAUUGAAAGCAGUCUGUGAGUUACGACGGAAAAUGAGAAAAACAUUACUAUUGUCUCCAAUCUCCCAUAAUUAAUGUGUAAUUACAGUAUUCCAUGCUUGUUAUUACUGUUGGAAUUAAUUGCAUAGCAUGGUGUGUGACAUUCUAAUUGAGUAUAUUUGUCCUGCAGUAAUACAAUGGCAUGGAAACUGACAGCAAACUGUUAUAAAUAAGCACAUCUUUUCAGUUCUGAUGGAUAAUUUCUGUCCAAUUGCUUCCCAGGAAUGAAUCUGUGUUGUAUGGACACAUUUGGGUGAGGAGGGAGUAAUCUUCCCCGUGUGUUAAGAGGAAGAGGUUCAACACACUCCAGUGACAGCACGUCUGUCACAAUACAAACGGCCUCUGCUGUACAUCAAGCAGGCAGCCUGACUUAAGGACGCGACUAUCGUCUGGUUUUUAUUACGCGCUGCACUUGACAAAGAACAGCAUUCUCCCCUGGAAUUCACGGCCGCCUCACUCCACAAUAUGUGUUGUGCUUCCCCAAGGUUAUAAUAAGAAUUUAUUCUCCUCCUCUCUCCGUUGGCAGAUUGGAGGGAAGCAGAUGAUGUAUGAGCCAUCGCGUGUUAUUUAUUUGCCAAACUCUCCCAGAUGUGGGGCUAUCAUUUAUCUACUGACAAAUCAAACCUUCCAAACAACCUCUGCUGUGACCCCAGCCAGAGCGGAGCAGUGCUGCUGUCAGCAUAUCUCAGCAGGACAUUAGGGUCCUCCCUGAUGGGGUCUCCAGUGACCUCCGGUGCCAGCAGCAGCUUUGCUUUGUGCUGAUGGAGCAGGAAGAGACGGCUAGUCUGAGAAACAAACUCCAGCCCUGAGGGGUGAGAGACUGACGUCUGAGUGCUCUGAACCAGAACCACACAGAACACUCUGAGCUUCUGCUGCAGACUCUGUUCGACUCAGUCUGUUCUGGAACUGGUCUAAUCGUUUUGCAAUUCUAAGUAAGUAGACUCCAUUCUUCAUUCUUCAAAUGUAGCCAGAAAUGAAAUGAUCAUAUGUCUCUGUUAUGCUUUGAAUCGCAGAUGAACGCCAUACUGUGAUGAUAAGCAACACCCAGGCAGUGAAAUAAUGAUCGAUACGACUGUGCAGCAUGAAAGCCCAAAAUAAUAAACAGCUUUUAAACUCAAUGGGCUAAACA
This is a long non-coding RNA of Cyprinus carpio (common carp), 1731 nucleotides long. Lineage: Eukaryota; Metazoa; Chordata; Actinopteri; Cypriniformes; Cyprinidae. The record is from Ensembl.